GAUGAAGAACGUAGCGAAAUGCGAUAAGUAAUGUGAAUUGCAGAAUUCAGUGAAUCAUCGAAUCUUUGAACGCAUCUUGCGCUCCUUGGUAUUCUGAGGAGCAUGCCUGUUUGAGUGUCAUUAAAUUCUCAACUACACUGACUUUGAAUUGGUGUGGCUUGGAUUUGGGGGGAAAAUUGUUGUGGGCUCUUUGUAUAGUCUGCUCCCCUGAAAUUGAUUAGCGGUACCUUUGUGGAACUGUCUACAGGUGUGAUAAUUAUCUACAUCUUAGACAUCUGCUGGAAUGCUGCUUUCUAAACCUUACUUGUAUUGACAAUCUUGACCUCAAAUCAGGUAGGACUACCCGCUGAACUUAAGCAUAUCAAUAAGCGGAGGA
Molecule: unclassified non-coding RNA, 376 nt
Filed under: soil metagenome
Description: partial contains 5.8S ribosomal RNA, internal transcribed spacer 2, and large subunit ribosomal RNA
Rfam family: 5.8S ribosomal RNA (bases 1-120)
Source: RNAcentral